RNAcentral lists this ribosomal RNA (557 nucleotides) under uncultured Spirochaetota bacterium. RNAcentral describes it as "bacterial SSU rRNA". It matches the Rfam family "Bacterial small subunit ribosomal RNA", at positions 100 to 643 of the family's 1533-position model. Lineage: Bacteria; Pseudomonadati; Spirochaetota. The record is from RNAcentral.
GAACGGGUGAGUAACACGUAGGUGAUCUGUCCCCGGGUGGGGUAUAGCCCAUGGAAACAUGGGGUAAUACCGCAUGAGGUCCUGGAGCUUGAAGGCUUCUGGACGAAAGGCGCAAUUGUGUUGCCUGGGGAUGAGCCUGCGGCUCAUUAGCUAGUUGGCGGGGUAAGGGCCCACCAAGGCGACGAUGGGUAGCCGGCCUGAGAGGGUGUACGGCCACACUGGGACUGAGACACGGCCCAGACUCCUACGGGAGGCAGCAGCUAAGAAUCUUCCGCAAUGGGGGAAACCCUGACGGAGCGACGCCGCGUGGACGAAGAAGGCCGCAAGGUUGUAAAGUCCUUUUGCAGACGAAGAAUAGGCUUCGGAGUGGAACGCCGGAGCGAUGACGUUAGUCUGCGAAUAAGCCCCGGCCAAUUACGUGCCAGCAGCCGCGGUAACACGUAUGGGGCAAGCGUUGUUCGGAAUCACUGGGCGUAAAGGGCGUGUAGGCGGUUCGAAAAGCCUGGCGUGAAAGGUGUCGGCUCAACCGACAGACGGCGCUGGGAACUGCCGGACUG